Lontra canadensis (Northern American river otter) is the source of this 322-nucleotide long non-coding RNA. RefSeq lists it as uncharacterized. The record is from RefSeq and is a predicted model, not a curated record. The transcript has 2 exons. NCBI's taxonomy places the organism in Eukaryota, Metazoa, Chordata, Mammalia, Carnivora, Mustelidae.
CAGACCCAUCUCUGAUCCUGCCUGCCAGGCUUGGAGCACAGGGACUCCCGUCUGGAGAGAUGCCCUCAGAGGGGAAGCGAGGAGGUGGGACAGGACCGUUGGCAAAUAAUAAGCUGGUAAUCUAGGACCUACGUGUGAACAACUUUAUAUGAAUAUUUUUUGUACUUGGUUUACUUGGGUUGGUAUGAUACAUUAUAUUUAAGUUCCUUGAACACUGUGGAUCCCCUAAUGUGUAUGAAUGACUGAGGCUUUGUAAAUUAUGGGACGUUUGUGUGAAUAAAGUUAUUUGAUGGGGUCAGAGAAGCCAUACGUGAUUUGAAAA